GACGAACGCUGGCGGCGUGCCUAAUACAUGCAAGUUGAGCGCUGAAGGUUGGUACUUGUACAAACUGGAUGAGCAGCGAACGGGUGAGUAACGCGUGGGGAAUCUGCCUUUGAGCGGGGGACAACAUUUGGAAACGAAUGCUAAUACCGCAUAAAAACUUUAAACACAAGUUUUAAGUUUGAAAGAUGCAAUUGCAUCACUCAAAGAUGAUCCCGCGUUGUAUUAGCUAGUUGGUGAGGUAAAGGCUCACCAAGGCGAUGAUACAUAGCCGACCUGAGAGGGUGAUCGGCCACAUUGGGACUGAGACACGGCCCAAACUCCUACGGGAGGCAGCAGUAGGGAAUCUUCGGCAAUGGACGAAAGUCUGACCGAGCAACGCCGCGUGAGUGAAGUAGGUUUUCGGAUCGUAAAACUCUGUUGGUAGAGAAGAACGUUGGUGAGAGUGGAAAGCUCAUCAAGUGACGGUAACUACCCAGAAAGGGACGGCUAACUACGUG
RNAcentral lists this ribosomal RNA (497 nucleotides) under uncultured bacterium. Its description in RNAcentral is "partial 16S ribosomal RNA". It matches the Rfam family "Bacterial small subunit ribosomal RNA", at positions 28 to 507 of the family's 1533-position model. The record is from RNAcentral.